AUGCCAACCUUCGCGCUCACGGUGCUGCGCAUACCAAAGAAGUUCAUCAAGGAGAUCGACAAGUCAAGAAGGCGCUUCCUCUGGGCGGGAGACGAAGAAGUUUCGGGCGGCAAAUGCAAGGUCAGUUGGGUAUCAGUGACCAAACCGGAGCAACUGGGCGGGCUGGGUAUCCCUGACCUCAGCCGUUUUGCCCGGGCACUACGGAUGCGCUGGCUAUGGCUCUCCUGGAGGCAGCCGGCUAGGCCUUGGGUUGGCACCGAAACGCCAUGCGAUGCUGCUGACCGAGCCCUUUUCGCGGCUUCUACGGUGGUGACCAUCGGCAAUGGUGCUACCGCAUCCUUCUGGUCGUGCUCCUGGCUGGGAGGGAGGCAACUCUGCUUGGCAUACCCAGAUUUGUUCGCUCGGGCCACCCGCAAGAACAGAAGCGUAAAGGAGGCCUUGACUGAUGAUCGAUGGAUCCUCGAUCUUCGAAACGGUGACUACACUGACAUUGUGCAGCAAGUGGUGUAG
Molecule: ribosomal RNA, 510 nt
Filed under: Triticum aestivum (bread wheat)
Lineage: Eukaryota; Viridiplantae; Streptophyta; Magnoliopsida; Poales; Poaceae
Description: partial small subunit ribosomal RNA
Source: RNAcentral